RNAcentral lists this ribosomal RNA (2231 nucleotides) under Klebsiella pneumoniae. RNAcentral describes it as "partial 23S ribosomal RNA". It matches the Rfam family "Bacterial large subunit ribosomal RNA", at positions 717 to 2925 of the family's 2925-position model. The record is from RNAcentral. Lineage: Bacteria; Pseudomonadati; Pseudomonadota; Gammaproteobacteria; Enterobacterales; Enterobacteriaceae.
GAAACCCGGUGAUCUAGCCAUGGGCAGGUUGAAGGUUGGGUAACACUAACUGGAGGACCGAACCGACUAAUGUUGAAAAAUUAGCGGAUGACUUGUGGCUGGGGGUGAAAGGCCAAUCAAACCGGGAGAUAGCUGGUUCUCCCCGAAAGCUAUUUAGGUAGCGCCUCGUGAAUUCAUCUUCGGGGGUAGAGCACUGUUUCGGCUAGGGGGUCAUCCCGACUUACCAACCCGAUGCAAACUACGAAUACCGAAGAAUGUUAUCACGGGAGACACACGGCGGGUGCUAACGUCCGUCGUGAAGAGGGAAACAACCCAGACCGCCAGCUAAGGUCCCAAAGUCAUGGUUAAGUGGGAAACGAUGUGGGAAGGCACAGACAGCCAGGAUGUUGGCUUAGAAGCAGCCAUCAUUUAAAGAAAGCGUAAUAGCUCACUGGUCGAGUCGGCCUGCGCGGAAGAUGUAACGGGGCUAAACCAUGCACCGAAGCUGCGGCAGCGACACUAUGUGUUGUUGGGUAGGGGAGCGUUCUGUAAGCCUGCGAAGGUGACCUGUGAGGGUUGCUGGAGGUAUCAGAAGUGCGAAUGCUGACAUAAGUAACGAUAAAGCGGGUGAAAAGCCCGCUCGCCGGAAGACCAAGGGUUCCUGUCCAACGUUAAUCGGGGCAGGGUGAGUCGACCCCUAAGGCGAGGCCGAAAGGCGUAGUCGAUGGGAAACAGGUUAAUAUUCCUGUACUUGGUGUUACUGCGAAGGGGGGACGGAGAAGGCUAUGUUAGCCGGGCGACGGUUGUCCCGGUUUAAGCAUGUAGGCUGGUUGUCCAGGCAAAUCCGGAUAAUCAAGGCUGAGGUGUGAUGACGAGGCACUACGGUGCUGAAGUAACAAAUGCCCUGCUUCCAGGAAAAGCCUCUAAGCAUCAGGUAACAUUAAAUCGUACCCCAAACCGACACAGGUGGUCAGGUAGAGAAUACCAAGGCGCUUGAGAGAACUCGGGUGAAGGAACUAGGCAAAAUGGUGCCGUAACUUCGGGAGAAGGCACGCUGGUGUGUAGGUGAAGUCCCUGCGGAUGGAGCUGAGACCAGUCGAAGAUACCAGCUGGCUGCAACUGUUUAUUAAAAACACAGCACUGUGCAAACACGAAAGUGGACGUAUACGGUGUGACGCCUGCCCGGUGCCGGAAGGUUAAUUGAUGGGGUUAUCCGUAAGGAGAAGCUCUUGAUCGAAGCCCCGGUAAACGGCGGCCGUAACUAUAACGGUCCUAAGGUAGCGAAAUUCCUUGUCGGGUAAGUUCCGACCUGCACGAAUGGCGUAAUGAUGGCCAGGCUGUCUCCACCCGAGACUCAGUGAAAUUGAACUCGCUGUGAAGAUGCAGUGUACCCGCGGCAAGACGGAAAGACCCCGUGAACCUUUACUAUAGCUUGACACUGAACAUUGAGCCUUGAUGUGUAGGAUAGGUGGGAGGCUUUGAAGCGUGGACGCCAGUCUGCGUGGAGCCAACCUUGAAAUACCACCCUUUAAUGUUUGAUGUUCUAACGUUGGCCCCUGACCGGGGUUGCGGACAGUGUCUGGUGGGUAGUUUGACUGGGGCGGUCUCCUCCCAAAGCGUAACGGAGGAGCACGAAGGUUAGCUAAUCCUGGUCGGACAUCAGGAGGUUAGUGCAAUGGCAUAAGCUAGCUUGACUGCGAGCGUGACGGCGCGAGCAGGUGCGAAAGCAGGUCAUAGUGAUCCGGUGGUUCUGAAUGGAAGGGCCAUCGCUCAACGGAUAAAAGGUACUCCGGGGAUAACAGGCUGAUACCGCCCAAGAGUUCAUAUCGACGGCGGUGUUUGGCACCUCGAUGUCGGCUCAUCACAUCCUGGGGCUGAAGUAGGUCCCAAGGGUAUGGCUGUUCGCCAUUUAAAGUGGUACGCGAGCUGGGUUUAGAACGUCGUGAGACAGUUCGGUCCCUAUCUGCCGUGGGCGCUGGAGAAUUGAGGGGGGCUGCUCCUAGUACGAGAGGACCGGAGUGGACGCAUCACUGGUGUUCGGGUUGUCAUGCCAAUGGCACUGCCCGGUAGCUAAAUGCGGAAGAGAUAAGUGCUGAAAGCAUCUAAGCACGAAACUUGCCCCGAGAUGAGUUCUCCCUGAGACUUUAAGUCUCCUGAAGGAACGUUAAAGACGAUGACGUUGAUAGGCCGGGUGUGUAAGCGCAGCGAUGCGUUGAGCUAACCGGUACUAAUGAACCGUGAGGCUUAACCUU